UACGUAGGGAGCAAGCGUUGUCCGGAAUCAUUGGGCGUAAAGCGCGCGUAGGUGGCUUCGUAAGUCCGUUGUGAAAGUCAAAGGCUCAACCUUUGAAAGCCGAUGGAUACUGUGAAGCUAGAGUACGGAAGAGGCGAGUGGAAUUCCUGGUGUAGCGGUGGAAUGCGCAGAUAUCAGGAGGAACACCAAUAGCGAAGGCAGCUCGCUGGGACGGUACUGACGCUGAGACGCGAAAGCGUGGGGAGCAAACAGG
This 253-nucleotide ribosomal RNA is filed under the name uncultured bacterium. RNAcentral describes it as "partial 16S ribosomal RNA". It matches the Rfam family "Bacterial small subunit ribosomal RNA", at positions 524 to 776 of the family's 1533-position model. The record is from RNAcentral.